AUACGGGGGGUGCAAGCGUUAAUCGGAAUUACUGGGCGUAAAGCGCGCGUAGGCGGUUAAAUAAGUUGGAUGUGAAAUCCCCGGGCUCAACCUGGGAACUGCAUUCAAAACUGUUUAACUAGAGUAUGGUAGAGGGAAGUGGAAUUCCGGGUGUAGCGGUGAAAUGCGUAGAUAUCCGGAGGAACACCAGUGGCGAAGGCGGCUUCCUGGAUCAACACUGACACUGAGGCGCGAAAGCGUGGGGAGCAAACAGGAGUAGAUACCCCAGUAGUCC
RNAcentral lists this ribosomal RNA (274 nucleotides) under uncultured bacterium. Its description in RNAcentral is "partial 16S ribosomal RNA". It matches the Rfam family "Bacterial small subunit ribosomal RNA", at positions 523 to 796 of the family's 1533-position model. The record is from RNAcentral.